Molecule: long non-coding RNA, 2122 nt
Organism: Oreochromis aureus
Lineage: Eukaryota; Metazoa; Chordata; Actinopteri; Cichliformes; Cichlidae
Source: Ensembl
GCCGCGUGCCUCCCGGUGAUCACGCGCACUUCUUCAGAGCGGGAACAAACAUCCAGAGAAAACUGCUUCUGCACCGGAGCAGAGGACCGGAGGACCGGAGGAGGAGGAGGUGUUUGUCCGCUUUGAAAAAUCCGCUGAAGACAAGUCCCUCACUCACCGUGUGCGCGUGCGCGUGAAUCGAUGAGAUGCGUGCUUGAUUGGAUCUCCCUGUUUGCAAUAAUGUGCAUGAGGAGGAGGAGGAGGCUCGGGCUGCCGAUGAGACUUGCUCCUUCUGCCCAGGAGCGCCUCCCUCUGCGCUCCUACUAGAACAAGGAGCCGUGUCCGCGCGCAGGUGAGCUCUCUCAGGUGAGGCCGCCGUGAGGAGGCGCGGAGCCGCUCCCAGGCUCGCGGACGAGAGCAAAGUUUGGAGGAGGAGGUUUUCCGGCGCUCGGAUCCUCGCGCAGACCCGUUCAACUACAGCACGAGGACCGCCCUGGCUUCUUCUUCUGUGGUGUGCACAGAUUUGGGAGACCUCAGCUGGAGCCAGCAGACAGGCGGCAGACGUUUCAGAGCCGACGGAGCCGCCGCACUUCCCGCUCUCGCAGUUCUCUGCUCCACUUUCAUGUAGUCGCUGCGAUCCAGAUGACACUUGGCAAGCCGCAGAAGCCGCAAGACAACUAGAUGAAAUAUUUAAAUGAAAUAUGACAGGGGUAUGAGAGGUGAAGAAAGGACGAGGAGUAAGCGAUAGAAGAGAAAACGAGCCGAGCGACAAUGCUCCAAGUGUGAGGGAUUUCUUUUCUUGGCUCGGAGAAGUGACGGGAAGCGCAGAUGAAUUGGCUUUCACCUGGGUGUAGCCUGAAGAAACAGGUAUAACUGUAUGAGCUCACACUGCUGUGUCCUGGAAUGAUCAGAGGAUAGUCUGAACCCUUCAGCUUCAGGCAGCAGCACUGCAGUCCAGAUGGACCGGAUAACGGCUCUGACCCCGGGCUCGGCGCUCGUACGGAAGCUGGCUAAAUGUGUGGAAUUUGUGGAAAAAUCUGUGGCGUGGCACUAAAGAUGGGCGGGGCCUCAGUGCAGUCCUGUCACUGUGUCAACCUUAGCUUUGUGAAACCAGAGGUGGAGAUCUGCCAAUCACAGGUAGCGCCGCCCUAAAGCCCGCCCCUGCUUGCUGCUCCUUUGUGACUCUACUUCGAUACUUUCUGUUACGCCCCACCCCCACUCCCCCCAAGACUGUAAAUAGUAUCAUUUGUCUAUAAAGUUGUUAUUAUACAUGCAUCUCUGCAUAACAUUGUGUCCUUAUUAACAAUAAGGACACAAACAAAAAACAAAGAAUAACUUUAUUAAGAUUGUUUUCUAGUCUGCAACAGAUUUAAAGUGCAUGUAGUAGUACUGCAACUCUCUAAAAUACUACUACUACAUUUAAAGAGCAUCAAUUUGUCUGAAAUUAAAAAAAAAAAAUUCUUAUUCACACUAUAAACAUUUUUUUGACCGACUUGAUUCAGAAAAAUAAAAUUAAACAAAAUUUAAAUUGAUCACCAACAUUAACUACUCAGCAGACGGUCUGUUCUCGUUUCCCACCGUAGUCACAGUGAAGCCGAGCGCUACAUACGCCUGGGUGGAGGUGCUACAGGAGAACCAAGGGGAGCAUUAAAAAUCUGCCUGUUCCUCUGUAGCACACACAGGUCAAACACCCUGACCAGAACCCUCACCGGCCCCCUCGCCAUCUCGAGGUGAGCGACUGCAGGGAGUCUGUGCAGCCUCAGGCCUCCUCUGCAGCCGUGUGUCUGUAGGCUGAUUCAAACAUUCAUACAGCCGGUCAGUUUUAUUUUUUAUAUUAGCCAUGUUUUUAUGUCAAGUCACACAUUUACUCAGAGGACAGGGUCAGGACCUGUGAGGGGUAACGUGAUGAUCUCACAAUAAAAGUCCUUCACACUGAGCUCUUAUUCUCUGAGCUGCAGUUAAAAUUCAUCUGUUUCUCACUGCUCUUCAACCGAGGCUGAAGGAGAUCAGAAAAACAGUAAUCUGAUAAUAAUUGAUAGUUUUUUAUUAAUCAGGAAGUGAAACUGGACUGUGUUAGUGAGCGUUUCCCGAGCCCAGGAAUAGUAAAAAUCCAAAACAAUAAAAUGAAACCUCUUUACUGAAA